CACACGCGCUGCUUUUGCUAUGCUUGAAACCCAUUUGUGGCUUUUAAUCUUUUGAAAUCGCUGUGGGAUUUCAAUAUAUAUAAAGCUCAAUGGAUUCCGGUGCUAUGUUGCGUUGCCUCUAUUGGAUUACUCUAUUGAUCGCCACGCUUAUUCGUGGAAUAAACGCGGAUAAAAGUUCAGCCCUUUGUUUGAAAUCCGAAUUCUGGAACAAAGAUGUCGCACAAUGUGUACCUUGUUAUAUAUGCAAACAGUACCCGAAAACUCCAUCAUGUGACACAUGCCCACCCAUAGUGCCUUCGAAUUCCUGGAGGGUGGCAGCAAUUACCAGUUUAUCUGUCCUGGCAGCCGUAAUUGUUAGCGGAGCCUUGCUCAUAGGCGUUCUAGUACAUCAAUGCAGGUCCAAGAGGACCUUACGUGAACCGAUUGAAGAGACAACAGGACCCCUUUAUCCAGUAUAGGUUCUUCAUAAGCUCAUGGAACUCAAGCUGACAGCAUAUGAAAAUGGACUGUUACUCCAGUGAAUUAAUGCUCCAGUCGGUUAAACACAGGCUGGUACCUCAACCACAGAGUGUUCUAUGAGUAGCAUCUGAUUUGUCUAAUUUAUUACAUUAGUAGGCUAUGUCAUGCAUAGCAAAUGGUUAUGCAAAAAAGCUGCACUGAGACCUUCCUUGUCACUCACUGUGCAGAACAGGUUUGCAAGCCUUAGGUGCUACGUGACAUCCUAUAGACAUCAAGAACGCAUAUUUUAUAUUCCUUUUUGUGGAACCCCUAAAAUGCUUUAGCGACAGUUUUUGCCAAGAUUUGUGGCCAUUCAUGCUGUAGAUGCAUUUCCACCUGAAUAUUCCUUGUUAGAUUUGCAAACACGAUAAGCACAAAUAACCGAAACUAGUUUAACAUAGCAGACUUAGAGAUGCUACUUUUUACACAAAUAUGCCUUAUAAACAGACUUAGCAUGGCACAUAGCCAUUUGAAUGUAUUUGUAAUCUUUGUACAACAAUAUUCUGACACUGACUGGCUCAGCAGCCCGUCUAUGGCAUUGAUGAACAUUCUGGAGAUGUGGAGGCACUGAAGACCAGCGAAGACAAAGCAUCCGAUGACCUGAAAGUGAAGAGUUGCCAGCUGACAUUAACAGAUUCUUUAAAAGAGCUGCAGGUGUCAGAUUCAAUCUUAGUUUUCCUACCUUUAUGCGCAUAAGAGAUUAGAUAGUUUAGUGUGAUAUUUACAUACAUCUAUCGUGAUGCAUUUAAUCUCUCGUGUUUUGAAGAUGUGUGUAGCCAGCUAUGGGCAUUAGGAAAUGUAUAUAUUUAUAUGCAGCAGAUGCUGAGGAGUAAUGAAAUUAACUUGUUUGAAAGACUUCAAGCAUGUUUAGAAAGAGUAAAGGGUUAAUCUCACAAAACCUGUGAAGGAAAGGUCUGUCACAUUUCAACCCAGAAAUUAUACUUUGCUUAAAGAAAUUGUCUUUUUUUUUGGCAGUUACAUUGUUUUCAAGAAAACUAAGCACAUUUUAUAUGCCAAUUCCCAAGAAUACUUUAUGUACCUCAAUGCAAAUCACUGCCAUGUUUGUCAGAAAUCUAGAAUCAAGAAGCUAGUCCAGAAUCUUGAUAAACAUAAACCUGUGAAGCAUGCACAGCACUGUCAGUCUUGAGUAAAGUUGGUUGUGUAUAUGUGCCUUUACUCAUUCACAAUUACUCCAGACUGCAGAGGAAACUAUGCAUUUUAAUGCAAUAAAGAGACAACUAAUGUACUGUAUUUGUCUGUUGACGUUUUCUUUUCCUAAAUGUUUUCUUAAACG
This is a long non-coding RNA of Sinocyclocheilus anshuiensis, 1792 nucleotides long. NCBI's taxonomy places the organism in Eukaryota, Metazoa, Chordata, Actinopteri, Cypriniformes, Cyprinidae. The record is from Ensembl.